GUAGGGAAUCUUCCACAAUGGACGCAAGUCUGAUGGAGCAACGCCGCGUGAGUGAAGAAGGCUUUCGGGUCGUAAAACUCUGUUAUUGAAGAAGAACGUGUGUGACAGUAACUGGUCAUGCAGUGACGGUAUUCAAUCAGAAAGUCACGGCUAACUACGUGCCAGCAGCCGCGGUAAUACGUAGGUGGCAAGCGUUGUCCGGAUUUAUUGGGCGUAAAGCGAGUGCAGGCGGUCUUUUAAGUCUGAUGUGAAAGCCUUCGGCUUAACCGAAGAAGGGCAUCGGAAACUGGGAGACUUGAGUGCAGAAGAGGAGAGUGGAACUCCAUGUGUAGCGGUGAAAUGCGUAGAUAUAUGGAAGAACACCAGUGGCGAAGGCGGCUCUCUGGUCUGUAACUGACGCUGAGGCUCGAAAGCGUGGGUAGCAAACAGGAU
This 432-nucleotide ribosomal RNA is filed under the name uncultured bacterium. RNAcentral describes it as "partial 16S ribosomal RNA". It matches the Rfam family "Bacterial small subunit ribosomal RNA", at positions 354 to 778 of the family's 1533-position model. The record is from RNAcentral.